This 84-nucleotide microRNA precursor is filed under the name Bombyx mori (domestic silkworm). RNAcentral's name for it is "mir-2807 microRNA precursor family". It matches the Rfam family "mir-2807 microRNA precursor family". The record is from Rfam by way of RNAcentral. Lineage: Eukaryota; Metazoa; Arthropoda; Insecta; Lepidoptera; Bombycidae.
UUAACUCAUAUUUGUAUGGAUUUGGAAUGUUUCCCUACGUUUGCCGCUAGGGGCGCUGUUCUAACUGCAUACAAAUUUGAGUUA